RNAcentral lists this ribosomal RNA (520 nucleotides) under uncultured Scutellospora. RNAcentral describes it as "SSU rRNA". It matches the Rfam family "Eukaryotic small subunit ribosomal RNA", at positions 569 to 1095 of the family's 1831-position model. Lineage: Eukaryota; Fungi; Glomeromycota; Glomeromycetes; Diversisporales; Gigasporaceae. The record is from RNAcentral.
AGCAGCCGCGGUAAUUCCAGCUCCAAUAGCGUAUAUUAAAGUUGUUGCAGUUAAAAAGCUCGUAGUUGAAUUUCGGGGUUCUACCGUUGGUCGGGCUAUUGUCUGUACUGGCGUGUAGAAUUUCUACCUUCUGGGGAGCUAUCAUGUUAUUAAUUUAGCGUGGUAGGAAACCAGAACCUUUACCUUGAAAAAUUAGAGUGUUCAAAGCAGGCUUAUGUCUGAAUACAUUAGCAUGGAAUAAUAAAAUAGGACGGUGGUCCUGUUUUGUUGGUUUCUGAAUCACCGUAAUGAUUAAUAGGGAUAGUUGGGGGCAUUAGUAUUCAAUUGUCAGAGGUGAAAUUCUUGGAUUUAUUGAAGACUAACUACUGCGAAAGCAUUUGCCAAGGAUGUUUUCAUUAAUCAAGAACGAAAGUUAGGGGAUCGAAGACGAUCAGAUACCGUCGUAGUCUUAACCAUAAACUAUGCCGACUAGGGAUCGGACGAUGUUAACUUUUCUUGACUCGUUCGGCGCCUUACGGGA